UCUUCCCAGUGCACCAGGCCUGAGCACUUGUCAUAUUUUGCUGUAUAUCAGAAAGUUGGCUGGAAACUUGUGUUGAUCAAAACCGAGCACUAAAAUAGAUUAUUUCUUUCCAUUAAAUCUCUUAAAUAUGUACAACGUGCUGCUAUGUUAUAGUAACAACUUCACCCUCACCCUUGAAAUGUUUUCUUUAAAUCAGUGGGUUUGAUGUGUUCUGGAUAUUUAUCUCUUUGAAUUUUAGAUACAUGUAAUUGCAGAUAGCACCAGGAAUUAGAUCUCUGUGCAUUCUUUUUUUUUUUUUUUUAUUGCAUUCUUAACCUGGCUGAGUAAGCUUUACCAGUUUAUGGCUGCCCACUUGCCUCAUAUAUAAAGUGAGGAAAUGGGUCUGCUAAUUAAGCUUCUAAUUCCUUUUGUUCUGUGCAGCAUUUUCAAAAAUCUCUUUCUGAGGAUAAUACCUGUUUGGGCAGCCAGCCAUUGCGUUUGUUUAUACUCUGAAUUUUGCAUGCUUGUCUGACUUAGUAUUUCUGAAUUGUUUUUUUAAAAGGUAUAAUGUGUUGAUUUUCACUGAAAUCAGGAUUCUGUCACUACUUGUGUAAAUUAACCUGAAGUGUAACCUUCACGGUAACUGGGACGAUAUGCUUAUAUAAGUGUUCCCUUUUGCUUUCAUCGCCAGUGUACUUCCUUAAUCCCCUACCAACCCUUAUCUUGUACGAGAAUAAGGUGAAACUUUGUGGCUGAAGACUUGAAUGAAGAUAAUGGGACCUUUUAUUCUCAAAACAGGUCAUUAUUACCUGCAGCCACAGACUCAAUAUUAGACCUAAGAAUAAAGAUCCUAGGUAUAAAAAAAAAUAAAUGAAUGUGAGGGAUAAACCUAAGAAUUGGUAUAGUUUGUACAAACCCACAUGUUUAUUUUUCUCCAAAAAAGUUAUUUUUCUACAAGAGAUAAUGUAUGCUUUUGGGGGUAAAAGGCAGUACAUAGUAAAUAUUUCUAAAGCAUCUGGAAAAAGCUGUCUAGUUUAAUACCCCACUCCCUCAUCUGUUUAAGGCAGUUUAACAUGGUUUAAACCAGUUGCAUUUUCCACAAUGUUUUUAGUUGUUUUUUAUUUGACAUUAAAAUGACUGAAUUCUCCAAGCAGAAAAUGAGAACCCUGAAAUAGAGGCAGAAUAAUAAGUGUUACUUCUGUUCCAUCAAACAUAGAAUUUAAAUACACAAUUAAACUGCUCCUGUUUAUGUGCUUUACCAUUAAAAUCUUCUUACCCCAUACAAAAAUCGAAAUUACCUGAUAGAAAAUAACCAAUUUGAGACUGAAUGAAAUGAGCCUGGUGGUCCCAGGGACAAGCACAUUUAGCCAAGGAGUGUCAGUAAAAUCCAUUUUUAUGUGUAAUUUUGAAAGUAAGCCUUUAGGUCAGCACUGAGUUUGUGCUUGUGCCGAGAACUAAACAAAUGUGGCCAAGAGAACAACUCUAGCAUAAUGCUUUCAGUGCUUCAUACUUCAGCCCCAUCUGUUUAAACAUUUCUGCAGUGGUGCCCAGAACAGCUUGUUGGUAGCAUGUGAGGCACUUUCAAGGGGCAAAUUUUUCUAAGGGCCAAAUCAGCUUUAAAAUAUUCAGAAGGAAAAUGGGAUGGUUUUCUAAGCUCUUGCUACUUGAAGCGUUGUUCACAGAUAAGCACCGACCUAUCCUGGAAGUCAUUUCAUCUGGAAGAGAUGCAGAAUCUUGGGCCCCAUUCCAAACUACUGAAUCAAAAUGUCACUUCAUUUUAUCAAGACCUCCAGGUUCUGAGGACUGUGCUGAUGAAUUACCACAUGGAAACCACACAGACUCCCUGGCACCCCUCCGCCCCCCAUCCCCACUGGAGACAGUGAGGAGCAGAGGGAGGAGUCCGGGCUCUGAAGCAAGAUGUGCUGAUAAACAAGCUAAGUGCUGCCUCCUUAACGACACCGGAUAGACACAGAAGCUGCAGUGUGAGGGGUCACAGUGUACAGGCCUCAACUUGCAAGCUCGGCUACCUGUCUUUGAAGUCUAGCUGUGUCACCGAAGAGUUGUGUAACCUCAGGCAAGUUAACCCCCCGUGACUCAGUCUUCUCCUCUACGAAGUGGGAGUGGACACAACCCCCUAUCUUACAGGGUUGUGGUGGGACACCACCUGUAAACUAUGGUGCCUGGUACAGAAAGAGCAUGGUGUGCACUGACUACUACUACUAAAUGAGUGACUCAAUAUAUAAGAGAAGUUUUAAAGUUCAAAUUGUGCUACAAAGCAACAAGAAAAUUCUCAAAAACAAGUCUACAAAUGCCCAAACUUCAGAAAUGAUACAAUUUGGUUCUUGUGUGAGAAUGGUGUGUUACUGCUUUCUAUGGGAUGUUAUGUUGGUCAUGGGCCAGUCCUUGGUCUCAUGAGGACUUUCGUUGUCAUUGAUCCUAUCCAUCUUUCCCUCUGGCAUUUGAUAUAUCUUUGCCAAAUCCUUGAAACGGCUGAUGCAGUCAUUUCCUUCCUUAAAGGCCACGGCAUGGGGUGAUGACCACUAAGAUCAGUCAAUAAGAUAAUCUGACUGGUGCACCCACAGCCACCUCCUUAGCCUCAAAUUGGAGACUGCAUCUAUGCAUUUUGUCCAUGGUGAGUUAAAAAUGAAUGUAUCUUGCUCUUACACUGCUAUGUGACAUUUCAGAAUUCAACAGUACAUAAUUAUAGAAAAGUGUUCCAAACUACCAGUUUCUUUGAAUACCACACUUCACAAUAAUUCAGAGCCCUAAGGAUCUUUAUCAGUUAUUUUCAAAUGAUUUCUUGAAGGAAGGCUGGCAUCUCAACAAUGCAUGACUUUUCUCAACUGCUCCGAAAACUGCAUUCAGAUUCACUCCAAGGCUACUAAGCUUGCAUCAAAGAAUUCAGCCUUACAGCAAAAAAAACAGCCUUUUCAAUAAAAGUGAUAAAAAUAACUUAAAUUUCCAAGGUGCCCUUUUCUGAAAAACUCAUAAAGCCUUUACAUGAUUUGGUGAAAGGAUGUUCAUCCAGAAGAGAUGGCAUGUGAUUGAUAAAGUUUCUCAAAGUUUAAAUAUAUUUCUGAAUAUCUUUCUCAUCUGCUGCAGCUGUAUUUUCAGAUGCAACUCAUUUCAAUUUAACUUAUUAUGACACACGUUUGUUUUGUUUUGCUUUUUUAAAAAAACACAAACAGUAAGAGUUGAGUUCCUUUUCUUAGUUCUCUAUGGUUCAAUCUCUCUGGAUAACAGUUUGUUCCCAAGUCCUUUCAUCUUGUUCAGCCACCCUCUGCUUCAUCCUUCUCCUUCACUGUGGGGGUGUCCCCAGUGGGCACUGGUGAACGGACACAGUGUUGAUCCACCAAGACUCUGGGCCCCCAUUAACAGCCUUACUUUUUAAUAGAGUGUCAUAUUCCACUACCCAGCGUUCAGAUCUCUGAGCUUGGCUUUUCCAGGAAGCUAAAUCUCUAACUUCCUCCCAUUGUGUGAUGGUUAAGACUCUUACCUGUAUUUUUGGUCCAUCUCAGUGCCUCACACAUAGAUUUGUGAUGCUACCAAAUCAACUGAGAUCCCUAUACCCCGGAGUUUUCAACUUCUCAAUGUUUUUCAACAUUUCUUUAAUUUCAUCUGCAUUAUUCAAAAUUGCCAAUUCUUCUUUAAAUGUGUAAUAUGAAAAUGUUUUUCAGAAUCUUUAUUUUUUCUAAUAAUAUAUGUAACAUAUGUUCACUGUAAAUAAAAUUUAAAUAUCUAUAUGUAAUUCCAUCUCAAGGAAAUGAACGAUGUGCAUACAUUUUUUCAGUUUUGCUUUUGAUUUUUUAAAAAAGAUCAAAAUUGGGAUCAUACUUGACUCGAAUGAAGUUUAAGAAAAAUCAGAACUUUUUCUUAAAGUGCACUGGAUGUUGCCCAAGUAUUUACAGAUUUUCUAUUGAUUUAAGAAAUUUCAUAUAAUUUUGUGAAUAUUUCCCAAAGUGUUAUUACUUUAA
Molecule: non-coding RNA, 3953 nt
Organism: Odocoileus virginianus texanus
Lineage: Eukaryota; Metazoa; Chordata; Mammalia; Artiodactyla; Cervidae
Source: RefSeq, a predicted model, not a curated record